This is a long non-coding RNA of Cololabis saira (Pacific saury), 1152 nucleotides long. RefSeq lists it as uncharacterized. The record is from RefSeq and is a predicted model, not a curated record. The transcript is spliced from 3 exons. NCBI's taxonomy places the organism in Eukaryota, Metazoa, Chordata, Actinopteri, Beloniformes, Belonidae.
UAAUGUUCCAAUUGUUCAAGUAUUGCAUUUUAUUUAUAAACUUUUUAUUUUAUUUUUGAAUCUAGUGGAGCCGCGUUUUAGGAGACGGGCAGAUGGAAGCCUGAACUUAACUAACACCAUAGAAGCAUCAGAGCUACAACAGAUCUUUCAUCGGGGCCCACAGUCCAGCUCAGUGUCUGUAACAGGGUGGUGGAGGCGUCUUCCUGACACUCUCUACCCAAAUGCCGUGCACUGUGAUGGGAAAAAGGUGUCCCGGUUCACAGUGGUGGCUCGUUUAUACAAGCACAUCUGAUAACAAACGGUGAUGAGUGAGACCACCAUCCAGCUCCCCGAAGUAAACGCUGCCACACUCACACAAUGGUACAGCAGGCGCAGCAGGGGACAGGAACAAAAAAUUCUGCUCCGGGGCGUCCCAGCUCCAGACCCACUCAUGACUGGCCAGAAAAACCUUCAGCGUUACAGAAAGGUCCUUCCCUGUUUUCAGCCAGUUUACUGCCGCUUCAUCAAUUCAUAUUGCCACCAAAUACUGCUGGGGAAGCACAACUGAAAGGGAGGCCACAACCCCAAGCCAUCUUCCCAACUCCACAACCCCAAGCCAUCUUCCCAACCGCACAGCCCCAUCCACAGCUGCACUUCCUGUCACAACUACCACCUGGCUACGUUGUCCCGUCAGGGGCUGCAUCCUCACAGGUGACAGCUGCACCUGGAUGCUCACAAUACAUACUUUCAUAUAUACCAUUAUCAUCACCAUCCACCCAGACACAAGCACACAAUGAAAGCGGACGUAGGAAACAGGUAGAAGAGCACACAGCCCAAGGAAAAAGAAAAUACACCAGAAAGACAGAUGUGAUUAUUUGCAGCAAGUGCAAAGAAAGCCGAAAAACGCCAUCACACAGGCAGUAAUUCGGCAACUGGUACUGUGGAGAAACAGAGACACAAUCAUAUGAUCAAUGGAGGGCUGUAUUGGAGAAAAAAGGCUACAGAAAAAGCAAAAAAAAAAACCAGAAAUCAAGGACCCUCCUGCUUCUUAAAAGUUAAUUAGUUGGGUUUAGUUUAUUUGGUGGUAACUUUUUUGCUGUUUUGUGUUUUUGUGUUUGGGUUUAGCAGCUUUAUUUUUUAAAACCUUCACUCUUUUGGGAAUAUUGUUAUUGC